This 557-nucleotide ribosomal RNA is filed under the name Microhyla butleri. Its description in RNAcentral is "partial 16S ribosomal RNA". It matches the Rfam family "Bacterial large subunit ribosomal RNA", at positions 1836 to 2610 of the family's 2925-position model. The record is from RNAcentral. Lineage: Eukaryota; Metazoa; Chordata; Amphibia; Anura; Microhylidae.
UGCUACUUUAUAGGAGGUCCAGCCUGCCCAGUGAUAAAAUUAAACGGCCGCGGUACCCUAACCGUGCAAAGGUAGCGCAAUCACUUGUUCUUUAAAUGAGGACUAGUAUGAACGGCAUCACGAGGGUUACACUGUCUCCCCACUCUACUCAGUGAAACUGAUCCCCCCGUGAAGAAGCGGGGAUAAAUAUAUAAGACGAGAAGACCCCAUGGAGCUUAAAACUCAGUCUUACCUGCCAUCUAAAAAACCUAGAAACCACGCAGUACUAAUGACUAGUUUUCGGUUGGGGUGACCGCGGAGAAAAACAAAUCCUCCACGACGAAAGGACCUAUCCACCUAACCCAAGAGGUACACCUCUAAGAAUCAACACAUUGACCAACUGAUCCAAUUUUUUGAUCAACGGACCAAGUUACCCUGGGGAUAACAGCGCAAUCCAUUUCAAGAGCUCAUAUCGACAAAUGGGUUUACGACCUCGAUGUUGGAUCAGGGUAUCCAAGUGGCGCAGCCGCUACUAACGGUUCGUUUGUUCAACGAUUAAAACCCUACGUGAUCUGAGU